CUGUAAGCCUGUGAAGGUGGCCUGUGAGGGUUGCUGGAGGUAUCAGAAGUGCGAAUGCUGACAUAAGUAACGAUAAAGCGGGUGAAAAGCCCGCUCGCCGGAAGACCAAGGGUUCCUGUCCAACGUUAAUCGGGGCAGGGUGAGUCGACCCCUAAGGCGAGGCCGAAAGGCGUAGUCGAUGGGAAACGGGUUAAUAUUCCCGUACUUGGUGUUACUGCGAAGGGGGGACGGAGAAGGCUAUGUUGGCCGGGCGACGGUUGUCCCGGUUUAAGCGUGUAGGUGUGUGUUCCAGGUAAAUCCGGUUCACUUUAACACUGAGGCGUGAUGACGAGGCACUACGGUGCUGAAGCAACAAAUGCCC
Molecule: ribosomal RNA, 361 nt
Filed under: Salmonella enterica
Lineage: Bacteria; Pseudomonadati; Pseudomonadota; Gammaproteobacteria; Enterobacterales; Enterobacteriaceae
Description: partial 23S ribosomal RNA
Rfam family: Bacterial large subunit ribosomal RNA
Source: RNAcentral